AGAGUUUGAUCAUGGCUCAGAUUGAACGCUGGCGGAAUGCUUUACACAUGCAAGUCGAACGGUAGAGGGGGCAACCCCUUGAGAGUGGCGAACGGGUGAGUAAUGUAUCGGAACGUGCCCAGUCGUGGGGGAUAACGUAGUGAAAAUUACGCUAAUACCGCAUACGAUCUAUGGAUGAAAGCGGGGGAUCGCAAGACCUCGCGCGAUUGGAGCGGCCGAUAUCAGAUUAGGUAGUUGGUGGGGUAAAGGCUCACCAAGCCAACGAUCUGUAGCUGGUCUGAGAGGACGACCAGCCACACUGGAACUGAGACACGGUCCAGACUCCUACGGGAGGCAGCAGUGGGGAAUUUUGGACAAUGGACGCAAGUCUGAUCCAGCCAUUCCGCGUGCAGGACGAAGGCCUUCGGGUUGUAAACUGCUUUUGUACGGAACGAAAAAGCUCUUAUUAAUACUAGGAGUCCAUGACGGUACCGUAAGAAUAAGCACCGGCUAACUACGUGCCAGCAGCCGCGGUAAUACGUAGGGUGCAAGCGUUAAUCGGAAUUACUGGGCGUAAAGCGUGCGCAGGCGGUUAUAUAAGACAGAUGUGAAAUCCCCGAGCUUAACUUGGGAACUGCAUUUGUGACUGUAUAGCUAGAGUACGGCAGAGGGGGAUGGAAUUCCGCGUGUAGCACUGAAAUGCGUAGAUAUGCGGAGGAACACCGAUGGCGAAGGCAAUCCCCUGGGCCUGUACUGACGCUCAUGCACGAAAGCGUGGGGAGCAAACAGGAUUAGAUACCCUGGUAGUCCACGCCCUAAACGAUGUCAACUGGUUGUUGGGUCUUCACUGACUCAGUAACGAAGCUAACGCGUGAAGUUGACCGCCUG
RNAcentral lists this ribosomal RNA (867 nucleotides) under uncultured bacterium. RNAcentral describes it as "bacterial SSU rRNA". It matches the Rfam family "Bacterial small subunit ribosomal RNA", at positions 9 to 873 of the family's 1533-position model. The record is from RNAcentral.